CAACCCUCAAGCUCUGCUUGGUAUUGGGCACCGUCCUUUGCGGGCGCGCCUCAAAGACCUCGGCGGUGGCGUCUUGCCUCAAGCGUAGUAGAACAUACAUCUCGCUUCGGAGCGCGGGGGGUCGCCCGCCGGACGAACCUUCUGAACUUUUCUCAGGGU
Molecule: ribosomal RNA, 159 nt
Filed under: Botryosphaeria dothidea
Lineage: Eukaryota; Fungi; Ascomycota; Dothideomycetes; Botryosphaeriales; Botryosphaeriaceae
Description: 5.8S ribosomal RNA
Source: RNAcentral